AGCUCCAAUAGCGUAUAUUAAAGUUGUUGCAGUUAAAAAGCUCGUAGUUGGAUUUCGGGACGGGCCGGUCGGUCGGCCGCGAGGUCUGUUACUGACCGGUCUGUUCUUCUUCGCAAAGACUGCGUGUGCUCUUCAUUGCGUGUGCGUAGGAUUUGCGACGUUUACUUUGAAAAAAUUAGAGUGUUCAAAGCAGGCCGUCGCUUGAAUACAUGAGCAUGGAAUAAUGGAAUAGGACUUUGGUUCUAUUUUGUUGGUUUCUAGGACCAAAGUAAUGAUUAAGAGGGACAAUUGGGGGCAUCCGUAUUUCGUUGUCAGAGGUGAAAUUCUUGGAUUUGCGAAAGACGAACAACUGCGAAAGCACUUGCCAAGAGUGUUUUCAUUAAUCAAGAACGAAAGUAGG
Molecule: ribosomal RNA, 400 nt
Filed under: phytoplankton environmental sample
Lineage: Eukaryota
Description: partial small subunit ribosomal RNA
Rfam family: Eukaryotic small subunit ribosomal RNA
Source: RNAcentral